UCUAANUAUAAAUCAUUUAUACANGUGAAACUNCGAAUGGCUCAUUAAAUCAGUUAUAGUUUAUUUGAUAGUACAAUUACUACUUGGAUAACCGUGGUAAUUCUAGAGCUAAUACAUGCUAAAAAUCCCGACUUCCGGAAGGGAUGUAUUUAUUAGAUAAAAAACCAAUAGCCUCGCAAGGGGUUUCAACUUGGUGAUUCAUAAUAACUUUUCGGAUCGCACGG
Molecule: ribosomal RNA, 224 nt
Filed under: Acaulospora laevis
Lineage: Eukaryota; Fungi; Glomeromycota; Glomeromycetes; Diversisporales; Acaulosporaceae
Description: partial 18S ribosomal RNA
Rfam family: Eukaryotic small subunit ribosomal RNA
Source: RNAcentral